AAGGAUUUAAGUUAAGCAAACUUUUAACCUUCAAAGUUAAACAUAGAUACAUAAUUUCUAAGCCUUA
RNAcentral lists this transfer RNA (67 nucleotides) under Acrocrypta assamensis. RNAcentral describes it as "tRNA-Trp". Lineage: Eukaryota; Metazoa; Arthropoda; Insecta; Coleoptera; Chrysomelidae. The record is from RNAcentral.